GAUGAACGCUGGCGGCGUGCUUAACACAUGCAAGUCGAACGGUGAAGCUCCAGCUUGCUGGAGUGGAUCAGUGGCGAACGGGUGAGUAACACGUGAGCAACCUGCCCCUGACUCUGGGAUAACAGCCGGAAACGGCUGCUAAUACCGGAUAGGCACCAUGAACGCAUUUUCUGUGGUGGGAAAGAUUUUUCGGUUGGGGAUGGGCUCGCGGCCUAUCAGCUUGUUGGUGAGGGAAUGGCUCACCAAGGCGUCGACGGGUAGCCGGCCUGAGAGGGUGACCGGCCACACUGGGACUGAGACACGGCCCAGACUCCUACGGGAGGCAGCAGUGGGGAAUAUUGCACAAUGGGCGAAAGCCUGAUGCAGCAACGCCGCGUGAGGGAUGACGGCCUUCGGGUUGUAAACCUCUUUUAGCAGGGAAGAAGCGAGAGUGACGGUACCUGCAGAAAAAGCGCCGACUAACUACGUG
Molecule: ribosomal RNA, 469 nt
Filed under: uncultured bacterium
Lineage: Bacteria
Description: partial 16S ribosomal RNA
Rfam family: Bacterial small subunit ribosomal RNA
Source: RNAcentral